GACCAAGGAUGGCGCAGUGGUGAUAGCGCUCGCCCCGGGCGCUCGCCUCCCACCAAUGUGCGUGGCCUGGGUUCAAAUCCCGGACCCAGCGUCA
Desmophyllum pertusum is the source of this 94-nucleotide non-coding RNA. NCBI's taxonomy places the organism in Eukaryota, Metazoa, Cnidaria, Anthozoa, Scleractinia, Caryophylliidae. The record is from the annotation of a GenBank genome assembly.